GAUGAACGCUGGCGGCGUGCCUAAUACAUGCAAGUCGAGCGAACUUACGAGAGGCUGGCUUCUCUGAUGUUAGCGGCGGACGGGUGAGUAACACGUGGAUAACCUACCUAUAAGACUGGGAUAACUUCGGGAAACCGGAGCUAAUACCAGAUAAUAUUUUGAACCGCAUGGUUCAAUAGUAAAAUACGUUCUUGCUGUCACUUAUAGAUGGAUCCGCGCUGCAUUAGCUAGUUGGUAAGGUAACGGCUUACCAAGGCAACGAUGCUUAGCCGACCUGAGAGGGUGAUCGGCAGAACUGGAACUGAGAACCGGUCCAGACUCCUCCGGGAGGCAGCAGUAGGGAAUCUUCCGCAAUGGGCGAAAGCCUGCCGGAGAAACGCAGCGUGAGUGAUGAAGGUCUUCGGAUCGUAAAACUCUGUUAUUAGGGAAGAACAUAUGUGUACGUAACUGUGCACAUCUUGACGGUACCUAAUCAGAAAGCCACGGCUAACUACGUG
RNAcentral lists this ribosomal RNA (497 nucleotides) under uncultured bacterium. RNAcentral describes it as "partial 16S ribosomal RNA". It matches the Rfam family "Bacterial small subunit ribosomal RNA", at positions 28 to 507 of the family's 1533-position model. The record is from RNAcentral.